Steccherinum ochraceum is the source of this 102-nucleotide non-coding RNA. NCBI's taxonomy places the organism in Eukaryota, Fungi, Basidiomycota, Agaricomycetes, Polyporales, Steccherinaceae. The record is from the annotation of a GenBank genome assembly.
GGCGCUAUAGUGUAGUGGUUAUCACUUGGGAUUCUGAUUUCCGCUCCUUGCGAUGCGACGUCGUAUAUUCCCAUAACCCAGGUUCGAGCCCUGGUAGCGCCU